GACGAACGCUGGCGGCGUGCUUAACACAUGCAAGUCGAACGGAAAGGCCCUGCUUUUGUGGGGUGCUCGAGUGGCGAACGGGUGAGUAACACGUGAGUAACCUGCCCUUGACUUUGGGAUAACUUCAGGAAACUGGGGCUGAUACCGGAUUGGAGCUCCUGCUGCAUGGUGGGGGUUGGAAAGUUUCGGCGGUUGGGGAUGGACUCGCGGCUUAUCAGCUUGUUGGUGGGGUAGUGGCUUACCAAGGCUUUGACGGGUAGCCGGCCUGAGAGGGUGACCGGCCACAUUGGGACUGAGAUACGGCCCAGACUCCUACGGGAGGCAGCAGUGGGGAAUAUUGCACAAUGGGCGGAAGCCUGAUGCAGCAACGCCGCGUGCGGGAUGACGGCCUUCGGGUUGUAAACCGCUUUCGCCUGUGACGAAGCGUGAGUGACGGUAAUGGGUAAAGAAGCACCGGCUAACUACGUG
Molecule: ribosomal RNA, 468 nt
Filed under: uncultured bacterium
Lineage: Bacteria
Description: partial 16S ribosomal RNA
Rfam family: Bacterial small subunit ribosomal RNA
Source: RNAcentral